Molecule: transfer RNA, 73 nt
Filed under: Chloroflexota bacterium
Lineage: Bacteria; Bacillati; Chloroflexota
Description: tRNA-Arg
Rfam family: tRNA
About the family: Transfer RNA (tRNA) molecules are approximately 80 nucleotides in length.
Source: RNAcentral
GACCCCGUAGCUCAGUGGAUAGAGCGCUUCGCUACGGACGAAGAAGUCGGCGGUUCGAGUCCGUCCGGGGUCG